GCUAGGGCCGCUCCCGGCUGCGCGGAGCGAUAAAAAAUGGAAAGAAGAAUUCUUCCAAAAACAACCCUUUGCCUCAAAAAGAACAGCUGCUGCGUUCCCUUACAAGCACCCCAACUCAAGGCAGGAGUGUGGUCUGUACAGAGAGGCAUACCAAAAGGCAUGAAGAUGCUUUCUUAAAGAGUGCUACAACAAGAAAAGAAAAAUAUCCAGUUUUAUGAUGUGUCCCUGUGUAAAACCAUUAUGAAGGGCUCAAACCCAAGGAUCUGCCCAACAUCUUUGAUCCUUCAGGCAGAUGAGAGCUCACCACUGAACAUAUUGAGUAAGUCCAUGGCUGCCAGCAUAUUGCAGGAACUUGGACAGAAAUUGCAGCUCCUUGCUGGGUAUGAGACUGGUGACAUGCUAACCUGUUGCUGGAGAGAGCUCAGUGAGGGGAUUGAUUAACAUAAUUAGCCCCAGAAGUCACUAGUGUACAAAAGUGUGGGAACCAGGUGAAGUCAAGUCUCAGAGGAGGUUGAAAGUGGUGCUCUUGAAUCCAAAUGUACAGAGUGUGCCUUCUGAGGAGAACAAUGCAAGAAAAGCUUUGCUUUGCUUUACCAGCCUGCACUACAAAGGAAAAAAGAAAACCUGAGACGGCACCAAACAUGUCUCUCGGAAGUAAAGCUCCUGCUGUGCAAACUGAUGCCAGUCAGACACCCAUCACAAUCAGCUUCUCACUCUCAUCCAAGAUCUGUGAAGAAAGAGCAGCAGCGUAACAGUGAUGCUUAAUCAGGAAAGAGGUCUGGUGACUAAUAUAAAUGAAUGGUCAGAGAAUGGAAAUGGCCUUGGGAUGGCAGGCAUGUCCAGCCAGGUAUA
Long non-coding RNA from Onychostruthus taczanowskii (white-rumped snowfinch), 852 nucleotides. RefSeq lists it as uncharacterized. Lineage: Eukaryota; Metazoa; Chordata; Aves; Passeriformes; Passeridae. The record is from RefSeq and is a predicted model, not a curated record. The transcript is spliced from 4 exons.